AGAUAAUAGACUACCCUGGUAGUCCAUGCCGUAAACGUUGGGCACUAGGUGUGGGGGACAUUCCACGUUUCCGCGCCGUAGCUAAACGCAUUAAGUGCCCGCCUGGGGAGUACGGCCGCAAGGCUAAAACUCAAAGGAAUUGACGGGGGCCCGCACAAGCGGCGGAGCAUGCGGAUUAAAUUCGAUGCAACGCGAAGAACCUUACCAAGGCUUGACAUGGACCGGAUCGCCGCAGAAAUGUGGUUUCUCCUUUUGGGGCCGGUUCACAGGUGGUGCAUGGUUGUCGUCAGCUCGUGUCGUGAGAUGUUGGG
RNAcentral lists this ribosomal RNA (311 nucleotides) under uncultured bacterium. RNAcentral describes it as "bacterial SSU rRNA". It matches the Rfam family "Bacterial small subunit ribosomal RNA", at positions 774 to 1079 of the family's 1533-position model. The record is from RNAcentral.